RNAcentral lists this transfer RNA (66 nucleotides) under Nesomachilis australica. RNAcentral's name for it is "tRNA-Trp". The record is from RNAcentral. Lineage: Eukaryota; Metazoa; Arthropoda; Insecta; Archaeognatha; Meinertellidae.
AAGGUCUUAAGUUAUCCAAACUAAUAGCCUUCAAAGCUAUAAAUAAAACUAAUCUUUUAGACUUUA